Molecule: ribosomal RNA, 250 nt
Filed under: uncultured bacterium
Lineage: Bacteria
Description: partial 16S ribosomal RNA
Rfam family: Bacterial small subunit ribosomal RNA
Source: RNAcentral
UACGGAGGGUGCAAGCGUUAUCCGGAUUCACUGGGUUUAAAGGGUGCGCAGGCGGAUUUAUAAGUCAGAGGUGAAAUCUGUAGGCUUAACCUACAAACUGCCUUUGAUACUAUAGAUCUUGAAUGUCGCUGAGGUCAGCGGAAUAUAACAUGUAGCGGUGAAAUGCAUAGAUAUGUUAUAGAACACCGAUUGCGAAGGCAGCUGACUAAAGGACGAUUGACGCUGAGGCACGAAAGCGUGGGUAGCGAAC